RNAcentral lists this ribosomal RNA (621 nucleotides) under Triticum aestivum (bread wheat). Its description in RNAcentral is "partial small subunit ribosomal RNA". The record is from RNAcentral. Lineage: Eukaryota; Viridiplantae; Streptophyta; Magnoliopsida; Poales; Poaceae.
AUGGCUGCAGGUGGAGCUUAUUUUCUUGUUGUUGUUGUUUUCUCCAUGUUGAUCAUGUCUUCCCUGGGGAAUCACAUACCUUUAUGCAGCGACUGCGAGACGCUAUGCCGUACUAACUGCACCGCGGAGGCUGAAACCUACUGCAGCAAUUACUGCAAAGAUUGCCAAGGUUGCACGCGCGGCUACUUCGACGAGUACUGCUAUCCCAAAUGUGUCAACAACUGCAACAACAGCUGCGAGAAGGAAGGCUCUUCCCUGGUGCAUCCGAGCCCUCCACCGAGACCUUUUUGCAGCGACUGCGAGCCACAAUGCCGUACCAACUGCAACGCAGUGGUUGAAAGCCGCUGCCGUGCUACAUGCAACGACAAGCUCAGCAGUCAUGAGGACUGCUGGCGUGCGGUCUUCCAGGGGUGCACCGCAGACGGUAGCUGCUGCAGUAGCAACGACACAUGCACUUGUGACUGCAACACCGUAGCUCAAGACCGUUGCAUUGGGGUCAGCGACAACGACAACUACACAGAUUGCGAAGCUUGCAAGCGUGACCAGUUCGACCAGUGCUAUUCCACCUGUAAGAACGACUGCAACAACAGCUGCAAGAAGAAAGGGUGCCGCCAUGCCUAG